GGUGACAGCGACAGCCGUGACAAUAUGAAGUUUGUCCGUCUGAAUAUACAGAUUGGAAGUCUGAAUAUAUUGAAUGAAAUCGGACAUCAUUAAGGCACUGGCGUAUGGAGGGAUUAUUUGGUCAGAACUAAAACUGAAAGUCGAAGUCGAAAAUGAAUUUGGUAUUUAGGAUAGGGCAUUUUGUCGUUUAGCCAUUUAGGAUUUGGGUAUUUAGGAUUGGGGAUUUGGGUAUUUGGGGAUUGAGGAUUGAGUCGUGUAUGCAAAUGAGGAGGCGUGGCCCAAAGGCUGCAGGGAGGGUUUGGAAGAGCUGAGGCACUUUAUAUGGCCUCUCGAGAAAGCAGCAGACAGUACAGCAGACAAAGAUGUUUCACCUGGACAUGAAGGACUACUUGGUGUCACAGCUUUGGAUCAGCCAUCUGCAGCAGAGUCCCAGUCCACUGGGUCACACCAUAAGUUGGAAAUUACAGCUACAGCUGAUUGAGUAACCUCUGGAUCCACUCAGGACUUCUUCUCUCACUUAGACAUAAUUUACUCUUCAUUGAAGGCUUGUAUUUUAUCUUGCAAAGUUUCUAUGUGAUCUAUAAUUACCAUGUUUUAUUUUGCUCAUUAUAUUAUGCAAUAAAUAGCACAGAGUUGCAGUCUGACGGGA
Micropterus dolomieu (smallmouth bass) is the source of this 649-nucleotide long non-coding RNA. RefSeq lists it as uncharacterized. The record is from RefSeq and is a predicted model, not a curated record. Lineage: Eukaryota; Metazoa; Chordata; Actinopteri; Centrarchiformes; Centrarchidae. The transcript has 2 exons.